AAAGAAGGGGGCCCACAAUCAUCUGCAAUAAAAUUUUUACAACUAGAAGAUCAAAAUUGCUUGGAAUUUUAAUCAAAACAGUACAUCAUACAUCUUGUAUGCCCUUUCUCCAGAAAGCAAACAAAGAAUCAAGCAAAUAUGAUGGUGUGCAAUAGUUAAUCAAAAUGAGUUUUAACCUUCAUUAAAUAUGUCAGUUGAAGAGAGCACGUAAGAUCAGACUAAUGCUCUCCUAAACAUCAGAAACCAUAGAAUUUUCAUGGUUAAACUUCAUACCUUCCCCUGCAUUGAUGAACAAA
This 296-nucleotide unclassified non-coding RNA is filed under the name Hevea brasiliensis (rubber tree). The record is from RNAcentral. Lineage: Eukaryota; Viridiplantae; Streptophyta; Magnoliopsida; Malpighiales; Euphorbiaceae.